Molecule: ribosomal RNA, 678 nt
Filed under: uncultured bacterium
Lineage: Bacteria
Description: bacterial SSU rRNA
Rfam family: Bacterial small subunit ribosomal RNA
Source: RNAcentral
UAGUGGCGGACGGGUGAGUAACGCGUGGGAACAUACCCAAAGGUACGGAAUAGCCUCGGGAAACUGAGAGUAAUACCGUAUGUGCCCUUCGGGGGAAAGAUUUAUCGCCUUUGGAUUGGCCCGCGUUGGAUUAGGUAGUUGGUGGGGUAAUGGCCUACCAAGCCGACGAUCCAUAGCUGGUUUGAGAGGAUGAUCAGCCACACUGGGACUGAGACACGGCCCAGACUCCUACGGGAGGCAGCAGUGGGGAAUCUUAGACAAUGGGGGAAACCCUGAUCUAGCCAUGCCGCGUGAUCGAUGAAGGCCUUAGGGUUGUAAAGAUCUUUCAGUUGGGAAGAUAAUGACGGUACCAACAGAAGAAGCCCCGGCUAACUCCGUGCCAGCAGCCGCGGUAAUACGGAGGGGGCUAGCGUUAUUCGGAAUUACUGGGCGUAAAGCGCACGUAGGCGGAUUAGAAAGUCAGAGGUGAAAUCCCAGGGCUCAACCUUGGAACUGCCUUUGAAACUCCUAGUCUUGAGGUCGAGAGAGGUGAGUGGAAUUCCGAGUGUAGAGGUGAAAUUCGUAGAUAUUCGGAGGAACACCAGUGGCGAAGGCGGCUCACUGGCUCGAUACUGACGCUGAGGUGCGAAAGCGUGGGGAGCAAACARGAUUAGAUACCCUGGUAGUCCACGCCGUAAA